RNAcentral lists this ribosomal RNA (309 nucleotides) under Triticum aestivum (bread wheat). Its description in RNAcentral is "partial small subunit ribosomal RNA". Lineage: Eukaryota; Viridiplantae; Streptophyta; Magnoliopsida; Poales; Poaceae. The record is from RNAcentral.
CUUUGGGCAGCUAAGGCUCUUAAAUUUGGUCAUAGAUGGACUGUAGGAAAAGGAACCAAGAUCAGGUUUUGGGAAGACAAUUGGUUUGGCGCCUCCCCUUUAUCUGUUCAAUUUUGGCCUCUAUAUUCUAUUUGUCACCAACAGUGUGUGUCUGCAGCUGAUGUUUGGGAUGGUCAAAACAGCAAACUUACUUUUUGUAGGAUCUUUAACCCUGCCAUGAUGGAAGAUCGGUACUGCCUAGAGCAGAUCAUCUUGGGAAUUGCCUAUACUGAUUGUGAAGAUGCUCUCAUUUGGCAAUAUAUGAACUAA